RNAcentral lists this ribosomal RNA (252 nucleotides) under uncultured bacterium. Its description in RNAcentral is "partial 16S ribosomal RNA". It matches the Rfam family "Bacterial small subunit ribosomal RNA", at positions 524 to 776 of the family's 1533-position model. The record is from RNAcentral.
UACGUAGGGGGCAAGCGUUGUCCGGAAUCAUUGGGCGUAAAGAGCGCGUAGGCGGCCCAGUAAGUCCGCUCUGAAAGUCAGGGGCUCAACCCCUGAAUGCGGGUGGAUACUGCUGGGCUAGAGUCCGGAAGAGGCGAGUGGAAUUCCUGGUGUAGCGGUGAAAUGCGCAGAUAUCAGGAGGAACACCGAUGGCGAAGGCAGCUCGCUGGGACGGUACUGACGCUGAGGCGCGAAAGCGUGGGAGCAAACAGG